This 327-nucleotide ribosomal RNA is filed under the name uncultured Lachnospiraceae bacterium. Its description in RNAcentral is "bacterial SSU rRNA". It matches the Rfam family "Bacterial small subunit ribosomal RNA", at positions 355 to 698 of the family's 1533-position model. Lineage: Bacteria; Bacillati; Bacillota; Clostridia; Lachnospirales; Lachnospiraceae. The record is from RNAcentral.
UGGGGAAUAUUGCACAAUGGAGGAAACUACUGAUGCAGCGACGCCGCGUGAGCGAUGAAGUAUUUCGGUAUGUAAAGCUCUAUCAGCAGGGAAGAUAAUGACGGUACCUGAGUAAGAAGCUCCGGCUAAAUACGUGCCAGCAGCCGCGGUAAUACGUAUGGAGCAAGCGUUAUCCGGAUUUACUGGGUGUAAAGGGAGUGUAGGCGGCUUUGCAAGUCAGAUGUGAACGCCCGGGGCUCAACCCCGGGACUGCAUUUGAAACUGUGAAGCUGGAGUGUCGGAGAGGUAAGUGGAAUUCCUAGUGUAGCGGUGAAAUGCGUAGAUAUU